CUGCCGCUACUUCCUGAAAGGCAACAGAGAGCACCUGCUGAGGAUCUUGCCCCUUCAGGACCAACACAUGGACACAGUGGCAUUCAGACAGCAUGGGCUCCAGAAUCAGGUCUGUUAUUAUCGAUUAUCAAGAGAAAACUUCUAUUCUUGCUGUCUUGUUUGUCACUUCCUCUCAGAUCUACAAAAUCUUGAGCGAGCCUUCAUCGUAUUCUUUGGGGCAUCAUGUCCUAUAGCCAGAGUUGAAGUCAUUCUAUCUUCCUACAAGAUAGAGGACAGUGGCUAUACAUACUGUACAUGCUGGUCAAUGUCAAGCAAUGCCAUCUAAGCCAAACAACUGCCUGAAAUGGAUGGUGCCUGCGAGCCACCCCUGUAAACCAACAGCCCGUCCUCGCAGGCAUCGCCCCGGCUAACAUCAGAAGCAGCCACAUUGGCCCUCUCCCAAAAGGCACAGACCAGUGAAUCCCACCUCCAUAAGAUCGUCACAGAGACACCACGACGCGUGCGCGUAAAGUCAUGACGCCCCUCUGCCAUCCAAGCCCAUGAGCUGCUCAGCACAACAUCAGCUGACACUUCCAAGGCCACCUGGGUCAAGACCAAAUGGAUAGAACAGUGGAAGUCAGCAGAACCAUCUAGGCUGCACCACUACAUCAAUGACCCCACAGACGUCUCUAGCCAGGACUUGCCCUGAAAACAGUGGACAACCCUCAACCGCCUGAGGACCGGCAUUGGACGCUGUGGAGCUGCAAUGAAGAGGUGGGGACUCGCAGAUAGUGCCUCCUGCGAGUGUGGGGACCCAGUCCAGACAGUAGACCAUAUC
Syngnathus typhle (broad-nosed pipefish) is the source of this 817-nucleotide long non-coding RNA. RefSeq lists it as uncharacterized. The record is from RefSeq and is a predicted model, not a curated record. Lineage: Eukaryota; Metazoa; Chordata; Actinopteri; Syngnathiformes; Syngnathidae. The transcript has 4 exons.